UACGAAGGGGGCUAGCGUUGCUCGGAAUCACUGGGCGUAAAGCGCACGUAGGCGGCUUUUUAAGUCAGAGGUGAAAUCCUGGAGCUCAACUCCAGAACUGCCUUUGAUACUGGAGAGCUUGAGUCCGGGAGAGGUGAGUGGAACUGCGAGUGUAGAGGUGAAAUUCGUAGAUAUUCGGAAGAACACCAGUGGCGAAGGCGGCCCGCUGGACAUGUAUUGACGCUGAGGUGCGAAAGCGUGGGGAGCAAACAGG
Molecule: ribosomal RNA, 253 nt
Filed under: uncultured bacterium
Lineage: Bacteria
Description: partial 16S ribosomal RNA
Rfam family: Bacterial small subunit ribosomal RNA
Source: RNAcentral